RNAcentral lists this long non-coding RNA (3101 nucleotides) under Sus scrofa (pig). Its description in RNAcentral is "lncRNA (ENSSSCG00025077037.1)". The record is from RNAcentral. Lineage: Eukaryota; Metazoa; Chordata; Mammalia; Artiodactyla; Suidae.
CUUUUUGCCAUUUCUUGGGCCACUCCCGCGGCAUAUGGAGGUUCCCAGGCUAGGGGUCUAAUCGGAGCUGUAGCCACUGGCCUACGCCAGAGCCACAGCAACUCGGGAUCCAAGCCACGUCUGUGACCCACACCACAGCUGAUGGCAACGCCGGAUUGUUAACCCACUGAGCAAGGGCAGGAAUCAAACCCGAAACCUCAUGGUUCUUAGUCGGAUUCUUUAACCACUGUGCCACGACGGGAACUCCGAUUGUUUUUUUUAAUUUAAAAAAAUAAAAAUAAAAUAAAAAUCUAUGAGGAGUCAAAAACAAUCAGUAGGCUGCUCCAGGAAAACCAAGAAGGGCUGGCUUGGUCUUGGUGACGUCUCCCAAGGAAACUCAGGAUGGGGCCUUGGUCUUCCAUGAGGGGUGUCACACCCAGAACCUGCAGAACUCAGCCACAAACUGGGAGGUGACUGCUGUCUUGAGGGGCCACCCUGUGGGGUUUUCCUAAUACACCUGAUCUGUUGGAAACACUGUGGGGCCGUAUGAUGUGGCAAGUGUUCAUGGGAGUCCUGCCUUCAGGCCCCAAAGCCCUGAAGGGGUCGGUUUUUGUAAACGCCCCAUGGAGACUCCGCGAUCACACCCAGGCACUAGAAAGGCUGGGUGGCUGAACACAACAGACGUGUAUUCGCUGACAUUCUGGAGGCUAGAAGCCUGGAAUCAAUUGUCAGCAGAGCCAUGUUCCCACAGAAGGCUCUGGGGGAGGAUCUGUUCUUUCCCUUUGCUCUUGCUGGCCCAUGAGGUGCCCUCCAACAAUUGGUGAGCCAGUCAGCAGACUAAGGAAAUUCCCAUGAGCACCCAAGAUGUUGGGAAAUAAAGACAGGUUGUGGAAGGCUAGCACGUGGGGCCCUGUGGCAGCUGACCGCCAUGAGAGUGGUCUUUUUCUUUCAUCACAUUGAUGAUAUCCUGUUAACCUCAGAGUCUCUUUCCAGUUUAAAAGUAACAGCCCCAUGCCUGUGGCUCAUCUGACUGCACAAGGGAUGGCUGGUGAAUACAGACAAAACACCAGGACCAGGAUUAUCUAUCAGAUACUUGGGUGUUAUCUGGUUGGAUAAGACAAGCAUACUCCCGACCCACCACCCUAAACAUUUACAUACACGGGCUUUAGGAAUAUUACCUUAGGGACAGUCUUGUGAAUUGGACAUGACCAGUCACCUGGAAGGGUUUGAUGAGGGCCUGUAGCAAUGGCAAAAUAAUGAGUACCCUUGAGCUUCUGGUCCUAGCCAUGGAAAUAGGCAGAGCAAUGAUACAGUGUGAUGGAACAGCGGUUAUAUGCCAUCUACAAUGUGUGACAAUGGGUAGAAGAUGUUAUAAAAGGUCUACCCGAGGUGUUGAGCGAUGCAGAAAACAAAAUUCAAGGUCUAGAACUGCUGUGCGAAUGGGCCGAUAAAUUGACCUAUGCUGUCAUUUACACGUUCCCUACAACCCCACUGCUCCUGGGCUAACUGAAAGGAUGGGUGGACUACUUAAACAGCAACUACACAGAGAAACUCGCUCUUUCAACAUGCGGAAAUACACCAGGAGCAAUUGUCCCAUUUCCUACCCUAUGUCAACUGAGAAAAAAUAAUAGUCAACACACCCCGAGUUCAGCUGUUUUUGCUCUUGCCCCAGGAUCUACCCUCAGAGGGGGACAUACAAAACGGCCCUGGAAUCGACAGGUAAAUCUCUGUGGUUUGGCUUUGCUGUCUCAUGGGGAAUAAGACUAGAAAGGGACUUAGAGAUUUCACCUGUAUUCUACCCUAGUCCCCCUUAAGACUGUAAGGUAAUUCAUCUCCGCCCCUUACUAGAGAAAGGUGCCAUUCUGUUAACAUCGUCUCCAGCAUCCAGCACCAGCUGUGGGAACUGUGGGUGGAUGCAGGUGGACAGGCAGUAUGGAGCUGCAGGCCAGGACACAACUGGGCAGGGGCAGUCUGUUAUCUCAGAAUGCUAUUCUGCUUGAACUUUGCUUAAUGGUCUUGAUCUUCCCCUUCCUGUGCCUGUUUAAACAUCUUACAUUCCAUCCCUGCUGUGAGCCACUGGCUGACAGUAGUGGCCUCAGGGCUAAAUGAGUGUGACUGCUGGGUCUGCAGUCCUCCAUUCUCACCCUCCUUGGGACUCCCAUGAAAAAUUGACCCAAUAAGCACCUGGCUCCAAAGGCUGCCCACCCCUUGGACUCUGUUUCGUUUGUGUUGUAUUUGUAUUGUAUUUGGCUACAGUGCUCCUUGUCAUUCUGAUCUCAGGAAUAUCACAGAAGAGGGGAGGACCAAGAUUGUAAGGGUUGUACAGGGUAUCUGGAGUGGACUGGAUGGUCAGGCGACUCAAGACAGCUGUUGUCUUGCUCUUUGUACAUCCCAUGUGCCACCAGUCCCUGCCUCACCUACACCCUAGGCACGUGAAUGUGCUUGCCCCCUGCCCCAGCUAGUGAUUGUUCUAAUCCUUAGGCCAGAAAGGCUCCACCUGCUAGUUCAUUAAAGGGAAACAUAUACCUUUGUGAUGCUCAUUAACCUGACGGGCUGUGAGGGACGUGCCCAGCUCUGGUUUCCCUGGUAACUGAUGAGCCAAGGUGACGUCAGUUCCCCUAUAAGUGUCAGGCUCCUCCUCCCCAGAGUAGUAAAGAUGGCUGCCAUCUCUCCAGCUUGCUGCACUGGGCUCCACUGUGAUGUCACCCAGGAGCUUUUGCUUUGGAUAAGCCUUUCAUGUCUCUGGGCUCUUUGGUCUCAUUGCUGGUCAACUACAAGGCCUGCAGGGUGCAGCCCAGCCAACACCCUCCCUCCUUCCUGUUCCGCAGGUAAAGCAGAGUUUGUUUUCUUUGUGAGUCUGUUGCUGGUUUGCUAUAUACAUUUGUUUUUUAGAUUCCACAUAUGUGACAUCUUCCAGUGUUUGGCUUUUCAUCAUUGUCUGACAUAAUUCACUGAGUGUGGUGUUCUCUAGGUCUAUCCAUGUUUCCAUGUUGCUGCAAAUGGCUGGAUUUCCUUUUUUUUUUUUUUUUGCUUUUCAGGGCCGCACUUGGGGCAUAUGGAAGUUCCCAGGCUAGGGGUUGAACCAGAGCUAUAACUGCCAGCCUACACCACAGCCACAGCAA